Molecule: long non-coding RNA, 389 nt
Filed under: Mytilus galloprovincialis (Mediterranean mussel)
Lineage: Eukaryota; Metazoa; Mollusca; Bivalvia; Mytilida; Mytilidae
Source: RNAcentral
GUGGAAAGACUUUCAAUUGUUCUCUGAACAAUUGGUUUUUAAUUAUUAUUUUUUUUUUUUUCUUCCGCAAAUUUGUUCUUGCGCAAAAUGUUUGUUUCGCAAUAUGUCGCUUAAAUAUUUCCCAUAUGGUAUCGUAUUGUUUAUGCGCUUUUUAAUUUCACCCUGCUAAGCCGAUCCAUUUUCUAUGUAAGAGUUAUCUCCCUUUUCACUGUUUACCCUCUGUGUGCAUCUCCUUCGUAACCAAAAAAGAUAGCGACAAAAUUCUUGAUACAAAUUGUUCGUUACAUCCUCAGAAAAUUUUGGCUAAUUUGGAUCGAAGCGAUUCGAAGAAAUUUUAUAGGAGUUAUCUAUCUUUACGGAAUAAAUUUGUCGGUAUGUUUUUUUAACUC